GUGCCAGCAGCCGCGGUAAUACAGAGGAGCCAAGCGUUGUCCGGAUUGACUGGGCGUAAAGCGCACGCAGGCGGGUGCGCGCGUGGGGUGUGAAAUCUGGCCGCUUAACGGCCAGGCGCCAUCCCAUACGGCGCGCCUGGAGUGCUGCAGAGGUCGGUGGAAUUGCCGGUGUAGUGGUGAAAUGCGUAGAGAUCGGCAGGAACACCCAGGGGGAAACCAGCCGACUGGGCAGCGACUGACGCUGAGGUGCGAGAGCGUGGGGAGCGAACCGGAUUAGAUACCCGGGUAGUCC
Molecule: ribosomal RNA, 292 nt
Filed under: uncultured bacterium
Lineage: Bacteria
Description: partial 16S ribosomal RNA
Rfam family: Bacterial small subunit ribosomal RNA
Source: RNAcentral